This 427-nucleotide ribosomal RNA is filed under the name uncultured beta proteobacterium. RNAcentral describes it as "bacterial SSU rRNA". It matches the Rfam family "Bacterial small subunit ribosomal RNA", at positions 355 to 774 of the family's 1533-position model. Lineage: Bacteria; Pseudomonadati; Pseudomonadota; Betaproteobacteria. The record is from RNAcentral.
UGGGGAAUUUUGGACAAUGGGGGCAACCCUGAUCCAGCAAUGCCGCGUGAGUGAAGAAGGCCCUCGGGUUGUAAAGCCCUUUUGUCAGGGAAGAAACGGAGUUCUCUAAUAUAGGAUUCUAAUGACGGUACCUGAAGAAUAAGCACCGGCUAACUACGUGCCAGCAGCCGCGGUAAUACGUAGGGUGCAAGCGUUAAUCGGAAUUACUGGGCGUAAAGCGCGCGUAGGCGGCUUGGUCAGUUGGGUGUGAAAGCCCCGGGCUUAACCUGGGAACUGCAUUCAAUACUGCCAGGCUGGAGUAUGGGAGAGGGUAGUGGAAUUCCACGUGUAGCGGUGAAAUGCGUAGAUAUGUGGAGGAACACCCGUGGCGAAGGCGACUGCCUGGCCCAAUACUGACGCUGAGGUGCGAAAGCGUGGGUAGCAAACA